RNAcentral lists this unclassified non-coding RNA (296 nucleotides) under Chaetosphaeria vermicularioides. RNAcentral's name for it is "sequence contains ITS1". The stretch from base 1 to 105 matches the Rfam family "5.8S ribosomal RNA", at positions 50 to 154 of the family's 154-position model. Lineage: Eukaryota; Fungi; Ascomycota; Sordariomycetes; Chaetosphaeriales; Chaetosphaeriaceae. The record is from RNAcentral.
GAAAUGCGAUAAGUAAUGUGAAUUGCAGAAUUCCGUGAGUCAUCGAAUCUUUGAACGCACAUUGCGCCCGCCAGCAUUCUGGCGGGCAUGCCUGUUCGAGCGUCAUUUCAACCCUCAGGCCCUGCCUGGUGUUGGAGGACUGCGCACCGCAGCCUCCCAAAGCAAGCGGCGGCGGCUCCCCAUAACCGAACGCAGUAGUUACAUCUCGUUCUGGGUCUGGGUCGUUGUCCUGCCGGAAAACCCCCAUCUUUUUAAUGGUUGACCUCGAAUCAGGUAGGAAUACCCGCUGAACUUAA